GGGGCUUAGAUCGCUAAACUAACAUCUCAAUGACCCUCUGCUCUACCUAUUAGCAUUUAAAGUCCUUCGGUUGACAGCUUGAUUGUUUUUACUUGUAGGAUAAAAUCUUUAAUGCCCCUGUGGAAAGAUCAUUUCAACAAUCGGCAACAGAUGUUGCGGAUGGUGAAGACAGUCUAUAUCUCCUAGCCAGUUUGGUAGACACUUAGCAGGCUAGAUAACCAAUGAAAAUCCACCUGGAAGAAUCGGACACCCUCCACUUUAGCGAAUACCUCCUCCUUGUCUGCUGGCCAAUCAGCUUCUACCUUUCUCUAUCAAUCCGUGCCUCUUGCUCCAAACAUAAGUUGCUGGCAUCACCUUUGUGGCAAAAAGUCAAACCAAAAUACAAACCUGUUUUAACUUCUCGAAUAAACUUUCACUGAAGUCGUUAUAAAAUAAACACGGAUAUGUAACGCAUGUCAUAGAAGUGUAACCCGCGGAAGUGAACGUCACGGAGUAAAGCCUAAACAGUUGUCACUAAAGUUGAGAGAAUAGAGUGCCUUCAGAAAGGAACAGGGCAGAGAUUUCCAUGUCUGUUCUCAUGCCGGAGGCGAUGGAACAACCGCUACAAUACGGCGAGGUGAACCAGCUAGGGGGCAUGUUCGUGAACGGUCGCCCCCUCCCCACUGCCAUCCGAUUGCGCAUUGUCGAAUUAGCUCAGAUGGGCGUCCGACCUUGCGACAUAAGUAGACAAUUGCGCGUCUCGCACGGCUGCGUUAGCAAGAUCCUGGCCAGAUACAACGAAACUGGGUCCAUUCUGCCUGGAGCCAUAGGCGGGAGUAAGCCUAGAGUUACAACCCCUCAUGUAGUUAAACAUAUCAAGGUCUACAAGGAGCGAGAUCCUGGUAUAUUCGCUUGGGAAAUCAGAGACAAACUGUUAGCCGAUGGUGUAUGCGAUAAAUUCAAUGUGCCCUCUGUUAGUUCAAUAAGUAGGAUAUUACGCAACAAGAUAGGGACAUUACAACAUCUAAACGGACAGUACGACACAGUUACUUAUAAACCCCCUGCAACAGAACCCAGAACUUUUUAUAAUCCCAUCUAUCCGUAUACCUGCACCCCCAGUGGGCUCACGAUGCCCGGGGCACAGCUUAGUUCCCAGCAACCAGGGUUACAGUUAUCCCCAAAGCAAGCAAUGGCACCAAUGGGAAUGGGAAGUAUGGGAACAAUGGGGAGCGUCUCUGGUAUGAACGCUAGUCCACUGCGACCUUGGCACACACCACAUUCCGUCAAUAAUCUGCUAGGCAUCACUCCCGGGCAUUCUCACUCCGUAUUCCCGGGGAGCCAGUCGACCGUGGUGACGUCAAGUUCAUGCAUGAAAGCGGAGACAAUGACUCAGACAAUGUCGUUAAGUCAAAAUGCUGCCAAUUAUGGAUACUAUUGUGCAAUGGCCCAGUCAAUACCUCCAAUGUAUCUUCAGAGUUGACAGCGUCAACGUUGACUUGUUUUGUGUAUUGAUCGUUUGCGUCAGCAUUCUGUUCACGUCAGCAGCGUCAACACAUAUCGAUAUAUCUGGACGUGUCUUGAACAUUUGUACACCAUCCAUAUGACAUAGUCAUUCACAAAGCUAUGACAAGACAAACAGCGCUAACCUUUUUAAAAGAAGAUAACUAUAUAUAAGGUAUGCAAAUGUCUCAGAUCCAUAAAAUUGUGACGACCUUUGGAGAUGUCGCAGCCAUUCGUGAAAUUCCGUCCUGACAUAUAUUUAUUGGGCAAUGGACUAUAAAAGUAGCCGAGGAAAGAAAUCGUUUUUAUUUUUUAACAUUCAUUUUUUGCGACCGUCUGUUCAAUUAACCAAAUUGUAAAACGCAGAAUUGUGUACAAUAGAGACCCAUAGAAGCUAAUAAAGAGGACACAAUCUUUGCUUUGAAUAUAUUCUGGGGUUGAAAUAGUAUUCAUUUCUUUUUGUCACAAAAUAAUUUUUUGGACAAAAUAAUACCAGGCUGACACGUCGCAAAUAGUUCGCGCACGUAAUUGUUACACAUUUUCGCUUUUUAACACGACAGAAUGUGACGUUUUUGAGAAAAUGUACACAUUUGGAAAUCCUUUCGUCCUCCACAGACAUUUGCCUCUAUAUCUCAAAAUAUUUAAGACGAAUAACUCUGAUAUCGUAUACAUAUUAACAAUGGGUUA
This 2166-nucleotide unclassified non-coding RNA is filed under the name Owenia fusiformis. Its description in RNAcentral is "misc RNA OFUS_LOCUS17223". The record is from RNAcentral. Lineage: Eukaryota; Metazoa; Annelida; Polychaeta; Sabellida; Oweniidae.